UGGGAGGCAGCAGUGGGGAAUAUUGCACAAUGGGCGCAAGCCUGAUGCAGCAAUGCCGCGUGAGUGAAGACGGCCUUAGGGUUGUAAAACUCUUUCGCUAGGGAAGAUAAUGACUGUACCUAGUAAAGAAGUCCCGGCUAACUCCGUGCCAGCAGCCGCGGUAAUAGCCUACGGGAGGCAGCAGCCAGCAGCCGCGGU
RNAcentral lists this ribosomal RNA (198 nucleotides) under uncultured bacterium. RNAcentral's name for it is "partial 16S ribosomal RNA". It matches the Rfam family "Bacterial small subunit ribosomal RNA", at positions 342 to 546 of the family's 1533-position model. The record is from RNAcentral.